GACUCUCGGCAACGGAUAUCUCGGCUCUCGCAUCGAUGAAGAACGUAGCGAAAUGCGAUACCUGGUGUGAAUUGCAGAAUCCCGCGAACCAUCGAGUAUUUGAACGCAAGUUGCGCCCGAGGCCACCCGGCCGAGGGCACGCCUGCCUGGGCGUCA
RNAcentral lists this ribosomal RNA (156 nucleotides) under Dehaasia incrassata. RNAcentral's name for it is "5.8S ribosomal RNA". It matches the Rfam family "5.8S ribosomal RNA". From Rfam's summary of the family: 5.8S ribosomal RNA (5.8S rRNA) is a component of the large subunit of the eukaryotic ribosome. It is transcribed by RNA polymerase I as part of the 45S precursor that also contains 18S and 28S rRNA. Functionally, it is thought that 5.8S rRNA may be involved in ribosome translocation. RNAcentral also lists the same sequence under 2 other names. The record is from RNAcentral. Lineage: Eukaryota; Viridiplantae; Streptophyta; Magnoliopsida; Laurales; Lauraceae.